This 253-nucleotide ribosomal RNA is filed under the name uncultured bacterium. Its description in RNAcentral is "partial 16S ribosomal RNA". It matches the Rfam family "Bacterial small subunit ribosomal RNA", at positions 524 to 776 of the family's 1533-position model. The record is from RNAcentral.
UACGUAGGGGGCAAGCGUUGUCCGGAAUCAUUGGGCGUAAGGAGCGCGUAGGCGGUCCGGUAAGUCCGCUCUGAAAGUCCGGGGCUCAACCCCGGGAGGCGGGCGGAUACUGUCGGGCUAGAGUCCGGAAGAGGCGAGUGGAAUUCCUGGUGUAGCGGUGAAAUGCGCAGAUAUCAGGAGGAACACCAAUGGCGAAGGCAGCUCGCUGGGACGGUACUGACGCUGAGGCGCGAAAGCGUGGGGAGCAAACAGG